AUUAACUUGGACCUAUAGUUGUGAUAGGCCCAAGUUCUUUUAAUAAGAUUAAAAUGAUUUUGAUGUAGCCCAACACUACUCCCUCAACAAAACGAAUAUUAAGUUGAUAAGCGAGAGAUGUUUUGAACAUCUCUUCGUAGGCCUUCCACCGUGGUGGGCUCCAAUCGUUUGUGACUCCUACACCGGCUUCACCCUAUCAUGGGGAAGUUCAAAGUAUGUGCUUACAUCCAGGAGGAGUCAAUAAACAUAUGAUGAAGUGAGUGUAGGCAACGAGGAUGGCCAACAUCGUAUCAUCGUGAGGCUAUUCUUGAACCCCUACACGAACUAAGCAUGGUGGGAAUAACUUAACUAAGUGCAAUGGUGCCGACAUCGUAUCAUCGUGAGGCAACAUUCUCUAGAGGCCAAACAAGAUGGGUAAUUACAAAAGUUGUAAAUGAAUAAAGCGUUAUUUUCUCAUCAUUAUUGUUGCUAACAACAUCGUAUCAUCGUGAGGUGGGCUUGGUAAUGGUGAGUCUCCCAUACCCCGCUUAGAGUUCAAAAUAACUCUCAAAUUCCAUUGAGGGAUGUGGAAUUUGCCAAAAAUAGUGGGUGGUACUAUUUGAUUUAAGACCCAAUCAAGUAGUUUUAAAACAAACAAUUGAAGGAUUUAUUUUGUAAAACAUGUUCAUUUGAGCAACAUCAUAUAGCAUGCAAUUAACAAUUAAAGGCGGA
RNAcentral lists this long non-coding RNA (711 nucleotides) under Malus domestica (apple). Its description in RNAcentral is "long non-coding RNA (MDOM_LNC019639)". Lineage: Eukaryota; Viridiplantae; Streptophyta; Magnoliopsida; Rosales; Rosaceae. The record is from RNAcentral.